Hevea brasiliensis (rubber tree) is the source of this 1923-nucleotide RNA transcript. RefSeq lists it as uncharacterized. Lineage: Eukaryota; Viridiplantae; Streptophyta; Magnoliopsida; Malpighiales; Euphorbiaceae. The record is from RefSeq and is a predicted model, not a curated record. The transcript is spliced from 8 exons.
UGGCAUCAGAGCAUUCACUAUUUUGUAAUGACCCUAACUAAUAAGCUUCGGUCAGUUUUGGCCCUCGUGCACAAGGUUGGCAGCGUCGGAUCCAAUCGUCAUCUAUUUCCAGUGAUGAGCCCAGUUGAAUUCCCUCAUUCAAAUUGAAUCAAGAUUAGGGAUUUAACGUUUUAGAUCUCCUUCGAAGUUAAUAGCAAAGGGAAGAAUUUGGAUGACAAGAGCAUCAAGGAUCCGGUCUUUAGUUUGGAAAGUUAGCGAUAAGCAUCCAGGUUAUAAUGCAAGUGAUUCAGACUCAGAUGAAUUUGAAGGAUGAUUCUUGAUAACACAAAAUUGGUUUCAUGACCAAAACAAUUGCGAUAUUUUCAGGUUAACUAAUUAUGCCAAGAGGUAAAGGUCGUAAAUGUUUUGCCACUAAUCGAGGAGGCAUAAAUGCAACAUGCAGAAGAGACUCCCCACAACCAUAAUCCACUUCUCAGGCGGUUGUUCCUCAACUAUUAGCCCUUUCACCUCAAGAUGGUAGUUCUAAUCAACCAUUAGCCCAUUCAUCUCAAGAUGGUAGUUCUAAUCAACCAUUAGCCCCUUCAUCUCAUGAGAGUGGAGCUGAACAGCCUGCACCUGCUUCUCAAGAUAUUGGUACUCAAUAACAAACACCUACAUCUCAUGAGAUUAUUCAGUCACAACCAAGAUGAUGCAUUGUUCGUGGCAUAAGACCAUUGACUAUAAAUGGUGAUACGUUUCACCCACAUGAUGCUGUUUGGGAUGUCACAGAAGCAUUUAAAAAGAACUUCCAUGGCUCAUGGCCAUGUUGGUGCAAGGUUCUAGCUCAUAGUCGGGACCAAUGGUUCAAUCCUUUUGAGAGAAAUUAUUCCAUUAAAGAUGAGCAUAAAGAUAUGAUUCGGGAUACAUUUAAGCGUGUGGAGAGUGGAAGGUUGAGUGACACUUUAGGAAAGGCCAAAAAAGCAUUUUAAAAAAUGAAGAAAUACCAAAGUGGAUUAGUCAAAAUCAUUAGGAUGAUUUAAUGAAGCAUUGGAAUACAGACAAUUUUAAGAAAAUAUCAUCCAUCAACUCAAAGAAUAGAAAGUCGAGCAAUAAUGGAGAAGGUCCAUCCUUACAUAUUGGAAGAUCAGUUGCAUUUGAUGAAUAUAGAAGAAGAUAUGGAGAAACGACUAAUCAAGUACUUAGGGAAGAUGAAUUAUACUUGAAGAUUCAUAGGAUAAAAGAUGAUAAGUGGAUUUGUGGGAGGUCAGAAAGAGUGUGGAAUACAUUCACAAGAAAUACUAAGCAAAAGGUAAGUGAAACAUCAACCACAAGAAAUGAAGAUGGUUUCGAAGUACAGGAAAGAGAUGUGGGAUUAAACAGGGCAACAGAGGAAAAUGAGGCACAAGAAUGCAAUGAAGACAAUAAUAUCUUGACUUUGCUACAAAAUAUCCCAAAGGAGCAAGUGUUGAAUACUUGGAUUGACACAAUUGGUGGAGCAAAGAAAGGAAGAGUGUAUGGCCUUGGCUCAAAAACUUCAGUUGUAGGAGAAUAAACCCAUGUUAGUUUUGUCCACUCUAAUGCUCCAACUCCUCCAACUAUCCCUCCCCAACAAGUUAUUGAAACACCUGAGUUUGAGUAAGCAGUUAAUCACGUGGUGGAUCAGCGGGUGGAUGAUCAGGUAGAUCAGCAGGUGGAUAAUUGGGUGAAUUAGCAGAUGGAGCUUAUGCAAGCACGUUUUCGUGAGGAAGUAGAAGUAGUAGUCCAUGCUGUCAUGAGGAGCAUGUUUGGUUUCUUUCCGCAGCCACCAGGAAAUGGCCCUAGUUCUUCCUCACAACCGCCCCCACAUAUUUAGAGUUUAUGCUAUGGUUUUUGAAGUGUAAAACAUGUUUUGGCUUUAUGUUAUCAUUAGCUUUCAUCUUUUGAAUACAAUAUUACUUUUUGCAA